UGAGGAAUAUUGGUCAAUGGGCGAGAGCCUGAACCAGCCAAGUAGCGUGCAGGACGACGGCCCUAUGGGUUGUAAACUGCUUUUAUGUGGGGAUAAAGUGCGUGACGUGUCAUGCAUUGCAGGUACCACAUGAAUAAGGACCGGCUAAUUCCGUGCCAGCAGCCGCGGUAAUACGGAAGGUCCGGGCGUUAUCCGGAUUUAUUGGGUUUAAAGGGAGCGUAGGCUGUCUAUUAAGCGUGUUGUGAAAUUUACCGGCUCAACCGGUGGCUUGCAGCGCGAACUGGUCGACUUGAGUAUGCAGGAAGUAGGCGGAAUUCAUGGUGUAGCGGUGAAAUGCUUAGAUAUCAUGAAGAACUCCGAUUGCGAAGGCAGCUUACGGGAGUGUUACUGACGCUUAAGCUCGAAGGUGCGGGUAUCGAACAGG
This 424-nucleotide ribosomal RNA is filed under the name Verrucomicrobiota bacterium. Its description in RNAcentral is "Verrucomicrobia bacterium partial 16S ribosomal RNA". It matches the Rfam family "Bacterial small subunit ribosomal RNA", at positions 355 to 776 of the family's 1533-position model. The record is from RNAcentral. Lineage: Bacteria; Pseudomonadati; Verrucomicrobiota.